Molecule: unclassified non-coding RNA, 1642 nt
Filed under: Hevea brasiliensis (rubber tree)
Lineage: Eukaryota; Viridiplantae; Streptophyta; Magnoliopsida; Malpighiales; Euphorbiaceae
Source: RNAcentral
AUUUUUUUUUUUAAUUUUUUUUAUGGGAUUUGGUUUGUGUGACUAGAUGAAUAUAGUGUUCUAAAUGAAUGACUUUUGCGACAUAUUGAUUUGGGAAAUAGCAAAAUUUACAUCUUUCUGAGUUAUAGACGAUGAUUGUCGUUGAAUUUUAGAUUUUUAUCUAUGUUUCCUUGACUCUGGCACUAGACAUCUAAAAUAAUUUGCUGAAAAUAAAAAUUUAGAGGGUUAAGCAGAUGUUUUUAGGUUUAACUAAAAGAAGGGAGGAAGUGAUGAUUUUUGUGGGAUCUAAUACAUCUAAAAACCCAUAAUUGUGCUUCUAGCUGGGGCAUACCCUUUUUGUUUUGCUAGUUGUUUUGAACUUUUGAGUCCCUGGCAUGUUUAUGUGGUUAAGUUAAACCCCACAUUGAUAUUCUCAUCUGAGCUUGUUUUGGCAAUGUGUUGUUUCUUGGAUGAGCUUCAUAGUAACUAACAGAGCAAAAUGCUCAAGUCAUCAGUUAAAUAAUUGGCACGGUGAAGGAAUACUUAAAUGAUCAAUUUGGUUAGGCUAAGGAUAUUUUCAUGUUUCUUUCUUCGUUUAGCUGAUCCCUGCCGUUUGUUUACAUUUGCUAUUUUAUUUGGUUAACCUGUCAUCUUUUUCGUACUGAUGACACUAUAUUGCAACCAAUCUCGCAUCAAUAACUUGGCCUGUACAACUUGAAUUAAAUCACUGGAAAUGCAUUCUCUUUUAUAAUCUUGAGAUUGGAAAUAGCAGUUUUUAUACAUGUUUAUUUUAUUUUGCACUUAUGCUGGAUGUUGUUCUUUCUCUCCUUAGAAAUCAGGGUUCUCUAAGCCCGGGGCGCAAUGAGAUUAGAGAAGUGUUGGUUCUGCUCCUCUACUGUAUACCCGGGACAUGGUAUACAGUUUGUCCGUAAUGAUGCCAAGAUUUUUCGAUUUUGUAGAUCCAAAUGCCACAAGAACUUUAAAAUGAAGAGAAACCCCCGCAAGGUAAAAUGGACCAAGGCCUACCGGCGUUUGCAUGGAAAGGACAUGACACAGGAUUCAACCUUUGAGUUUGAGAGAAAGAGGAAUAGGCCUGAGAGAUAUGAUAGGAAUCUUGCUGAGAAUACUCUGAAGGCUAUUAAGAAGAUUGAUAAAGUCAGAUCUAACAGGGAAGCCAAACACAUUGAAAAGAGGAUGAAGGUCAAGAAAAGCAAGGAGCGGAGAGAGGCGGCAAAGGAAUUGGAGCAGAGUAUCCACUUGGUCAAACCUCCUUCAGUUCUUGCUCAAGAUCCAUCUCUCACAUUGCCCAAGAUCAAGGUCAAGGUCUCCCAACAGCAAACAGAGGAAAACCAUGCAAUGGAGGAGUGAUUUUGUUACUGGUUUAUAUGUUCUGUUCUUCUCUUUUGUUCUCUUUCUUUUCAUUCUUGUGUGGGAAGGCGGAGUAUUUGUAGAGGGGUUUCAGCACUUGUACUUGCAGUUGCCCACGUCUUUCAAUAUCAAUCAUGUAAUGGCAGGGGCUAGGUCAUUUUUGCCCUUUCAGUUGUCCUCUUUAGUAUAGCUGCCCUUCAAGUGCAGAAGGCGAAGAACUUAUACAUAGAGGAAGAGAGGAACAUGAAUAAGUAGAUACUGUUUGAUAUUACUGUUGUUGGAUAAAAUAUAUAUA